AUUGAACGCUGGCGGCAGGCCUAACACAUGCAAGUCGAACGGUAACAGGAAACAGCUUGCUGUUUCGCUGACGAGUGGCGGACGGGUGAGUAAUGUCUGGGAAACUGCCUGAUGGAGGGGGAUAACUACCGGAAACGGUAGCUAAUACCGCAUAACGUCGCAAGACCAAAGAGGGGGACCCUCGGGCCUCUUGCCAUCGGAUGUGCCCAGAUGGGAUUAGCUUGUUGGUGGGGUAACGGCUCACCAAGGCGACGAUCCCUAGCUGGUCUGAGAGGAUGACCAGCCACACUGGAACUGAGACACGGUCCAGACUCCUACGGGAGGCAGCAGUGGGGAAUAUUGCACAAUGGGCGCAAGCCUGAUGCAGCCAUGCCGCGUGUAUGAAGAAGGCCUUCGGGUUGUAAAGUACUUUCAGCGGGGAGGAAGGGAGUAAAGUUAAUACCUUUGCUCAUUGACGUUACCCGCAGAAGAAGCACCGGCUAACUCCGUG
Molecule: ribosomal RNA, 490 nt
Filed under: uncultured bacterium
Lineage: Bacteria
Description: partial 16S ribosomal RNA
Rfam family: Bacterial small subunit ribosomal RNA
Source: RNAcentral